GGACAAGCAAGGUGCUGUAGAUUUCUCUGUGUUGCUGUUUGAGCCGUUGGUUCUCCUGGAGGAGCUCGUCAUGACUAGCUUCCCCAGUGUGAGAAUGACCGUUGUCACUGGAGGAGCUUGGGAUCUUGUUGGAUUAAAUGCCAGUGGAGUGUGAGAUCUCUUUCUGCAUAUGGAUGAACUGCUCUGCACCCUCACGGGACCUGCUGGAGGACAUGCGUCAGCGUGGACAGCAAACACGUCAUGGUGUGCCCUGCGGAUGUACACAGCUAUCACAUGCCCAUCAGAAAGAAGAUGAAAGCUGGGGAAAGCAAGUUCCUGAGCUGUGAGAUUGGGGCUCACUGUCCUGAAGGCAAAGCCCUGGUCCCUGAACCUGGGGGUUUCGCUCAGCUAUGCGCCAAUUCAGGUUCCAGUCCCCCAUUACAGUUGUGCUAGCCACAGCGGCAGCUGGACCAGUCACCUCCAUGCUGCAUGGCCUCGAGGGAUGGUGACUCACAUUCAAAAUGUAAAAUGGUGCCAUGGAAGUCCAGCUGUGAGGGACUUUACUGAGUUUACAAUGUGCAAAAUUGAGUUUGAAUCAGAAAUGCCAGAUCGGAAGGACAGCUUUCAAUUUGAAGUUUGGCCUUGAGUUUUAAGUGUGUGUUUAGAACUGGAGAGGGAAGCCAAAAAACCCUGGCUGGCCGGAGUCCUGUGGUGGGAUGAGCGGUGCUCGGGGAUUCUGUAUGUGGUGCUGGCCCUUGGGAAGUGUUCUGUCUGUUCCUCUAGGUUGUGCCCCUCCUGUGUCCCAGGGAAAAGUGAGGCUGGGAACAUUGUUCAUGCCAGAGCCCUGCUUCUCCCUAGGGGCCCCCGUCCUCUGGUUCAGGCUUAAUGGGAGCCUCUGCGGGGUGGAGGGCCUGUGUAGCACCCCUGGGUGCCCGUCCCCAGGCUGAGGACGGUGUUUGCUGUGCACUGUUUUGCUCUGGUGAAGUCAGGGGGAAGUAAGUUAUAUACACAAUGAUCCAGGAAAAAUGCCCGAGUGUGUGACAGGAGGGCAGAGUCCACAGGACGCCCCGGGAAACACGCUCGGCUGGAAACCAGGCUGCACUGCAGGUCUCGGCCCUGGGAAGACUCCAUCUGAGUGGAGCCCCUGACUCUCUUUCGGCUCUUGGUUCCCUUGUGGACAGGUCAUAGAGCUGCCUGCCACG
Cavia porcellus (domestic guinea pig) is the source of this 1181-nucleotide long non-coding RNA. RefSeq lists it as uncharacterized. Lineage: Eukaryota; Metazoa; Chordata; Mammalia; Rodentia; Caviidae. The record is from RefSeq and is a predicted model, not a curated record. The transcript is spliced from 3 exons.